RNAcentral lists this transfer RNA (62 nucleotides) under Anaticola crassicornis (slender duck louse). RNAcentral's name for it is "tRNA-Ala". Lineage: Eukaryota; Metazoa; Arthropoda; Insecta; Psocodea; Philopteridae. The record is from RNAcentral.
UUAAGGUUUCUCAAUAGAUCUAACUCUUGCAAAGAGUUAAUUUUUAAUAAACUAAAACCCCA